This 730-nucleotide ribosomal RNA is filed under the name uncultured bacterium. Its description in RNAcentral is "bacterial SSU rRNA". It matches the Rfam family "Bacterial small subunit ribosomal RNA", at positions 771 to 1501 of the family's 1533-position model. The record is from RNAcentral.
AACAGGAUUAGAUACCCUGGUAGUCCACGCCGUAAACGAUGAGUGCUAGGUGUUGGGGGGCUACGCCCCUCAGUGCCGAAGGUAACCCAUUAAGCACUCCGCCUGGGGAGUACGGCCGCAAGGCUGAAACUCAAGGGAAUUGACGGGGGCCCGCACAAGCGGUGGAGCAUGUGGUUUAAUUCGAAGCAACGCGAAGAACCUUACCAGGGCUUGACAUCCCGCUGACCCCUCCAGAGAUGGAGGUUUCCUUCGGGACAGCGGUGACAGGUGGUGCAUGGUUGUCGUCAGCUCGUGUCGUGAGAUGUUGGGUUCAGUCCCGCAACGAGCGCAACCCUUGUCGUUAGUUGCCAGCAUUUCGGAUGGGCACUCUAACGAGACAGCCGGUGAAAGCCGGAGGAAGGUGGGGAUGACGUCAAAUCAUCAUGCCCCUUAUGUCCUGGGCUACACACGUGCUACAAUGGCUGGUACAAAGGGCAGCGAACCCGCGAGGGGGAGCCAAUCCCAAAAAGCCAGUCUCAGUUCGGAUCGCAGGCUGCAACUCGCCUGCGUGAAGCCGGAAUCGCUAGUAAUCGCGGAUCAGCAUGCCGCGGUGAAUAUGUUCCCGGGCCUUGUACACACCGCCCGUCACACCACGAGAGUUUGCAACACCCGAAGUCGGUGAGGCAACCUUUUAGGAGCCAGCCGCCGAAGGUGGGGCAGAUGAUUGGGGUGAAGUCGUAACAAGGUAACC